AGAGUUUGAUCAUGGCUCAGGACGAACGCUGGCGGCGUGCCUAAUACAUGCAAGUCGAGCGGAUCAAUGGGGAGCUUGCUCCCCUGAGGUCAGCGGCGGACGGGUGAGUAACACGUGGGCAACCUGCCUGUAAGACUGGGAAAACUCCGGGAAACCGGGGCUAAUACCGGAUAACAUUUUCCACUGCAUAGUGGAGAAUUAAAAGAUGGCUUCGGCUAUCACUUACAGAUGGGCCCGCGGCGCAUUAGCUAGUUGGUGAGGUAAUGGCUCACCAAGGCGACGAUGCGUAGCCGACCUGAGAGGGUGAUCGGCCACACUGGGACUGAGACACGGCCCAGACUCCUACGGGAGGCAGCAGUAGGGAAUCUUCGGCAAUGGGCGAAAGCCUGACCGAGCAACGCCGCGUGAGCGAUGAAGGCCUUCGGGUCGUAAAGCUCUGUUGUUAGGGAAGAACAAGUACCGUUCGAACAGGGCGGUACCUUGACGGUACCUAACCAGAAAGCCACGGCUAACUACGUGCCAGCAGCCGCGGUAAUACGUAGGUGGCAAGCGUUGUCCGGAAUUAUUGGGCGUAAAGCGCGCGCAGGCGGUCUCUUAAGUCUGAUGUGAAAGCCCACGGCUCAACCGUGGAGGGCCAUUGGAAACUGGGGGACUUGAGUACUGGAGAGGAGAGUGGAAUUCCAUGUGUAGCGGUGAAAUGCGUAGAUAUAUGGAGGAACACCAGUGGCGAAGGCGGCUCUCUGGCCAGUAACUGACGCUGAGGCGCGAAAGCGUGGGGAGCAAACAGGAUUAGAUACCCUGGUAGUCCACGCCGUAAACGAUGAGUGCUAGGUGUUUGGGGGGUUCCACCCUCAGUGCUGACGUUAACACAUUAAGCACUCCGCCUGGGGGAGUACGGCCGCAAGGCUGAAACUCAAAAGGAAUUGACGGGGGGCCCGCACAAACAGUUGGAGCAUGUGGGUUUAAUUCCAAACAACCCCGAAGAAACCUUUCCAGGGGUUUGAGAACCCUUCGCCAACUUUCUAGAGAAAAGAAAGGUUCCCCCUUCCGGGGGACGAAAAUAAACAAGGGGGUGGCAAGGGUGUUCCUCCAACCCCCUG
This 1100-nucleotide ribosomal RNA is filed under the name uncultured bacterium. Its description in RNAcentral is "bacterial SSU rRNA". It matches the Rfam family "Bacterial small subunit ribosomal RNA", at positions 8 to 1211 of the family's 1533-position model. The record is from RNAcentral.